AUUGAACGCUGGCGGCAGGCCUAACACAUGCAAGUCGAACGAGUGGCGGACGGGUGAGUAAUGUCUGGGAAACUGCCUGAUGGAGGGGGAUCACUACUGGAAACGGUAGCUAAUACCGCAUACCAUCAGCUGUGCCCAGAUGGGAUUAGCUGGUUGGUGGGGUAACGGCUCACCAAGGCGACGAUCCCUAGCUGGUCGGAGAGGUUGACGAGCCACACUGGAACUGUGACAGGGUCCGACCUCCUACGGGGGGCAGCAGUGGGGAAUAUUGCACAUGGGGCGAAAGCCGGAUGCAGCCAUGCCGCGUGUAUGAAGAAGGCCUUCGGGUGUUAAAGUACUUUCAUCGGGGAGGCGUUACCCGCAGAGGAAGCACCGGCUAACUCCGUGCCAGCCGCCGCGGUAAUAC
This 406-nucleotide ribosomal RNA is filed under the name uncultured bacterium. RNAcentral's name for it is "partial 16S ribosomal RNA". It matches the Rfam family "Bacterial small subunit ribosomal RNA", at positions 30 to 526 of the family's 1533-position model. The record is from RNAcentral.